UUGGGGACGCCGGUCAUGGAAACAGGGGGCAGGGCGAGCUCCAUGGCAGGCGGCCGAGCAGAGGAACUCCGACGCGCGCAGGGAGGAGCCAUGGCGAGUGGCUGGGCUGGGCGCGCAGAGCUCCGGGCUGGAGGGCGCGCGGCCACCAGAGGAACGCGGCAAGGGAGAAGGCGGGCGCAGGAGCUCGCGCGCAGUGAAAUCAGGGGGCGCGCAGAGCAACAGAGCGAGCAGGGGCAGAGAAGAAAGAGAGCACGACAGGGAGAAGGUAAAGCCAACCGCCCGGAGGAGAACGUCGGCGAGAUCUUUCUGAAGCUGAGCGGCGGCAAACGGCAAGCUGUGCUCACAGCAAGCGUCCACGCGCCACCAAGGAGAG
This 373-nucleotide unclassified non-coding RNA is filed under the name Zea mays. RNAcentral describes it as "misc RNA Zm00001eb097630". Lineage: Eukaryota; Viridiplantae; Streptophyta; Magnoliopsida; Poales; Poaceae. The record is from RNAcentral.